Long non-coding RNA from Gossypium raimondii (Peruvian cotton), 2096 nucleotides. RefSeq lists it as uncharacterized. The record is from RefSeq and is a predicted model, not a curated record. NCBI's taxonomy places the organism in Eukaryota, Viridiplantae, Streptophyta, Magnoliopsida, Malvales, Malvaceae. The transcript is spliced from 2 exons.
ACAUUCAACAUUUAGCUUCAGAUUCGAAAUUUUUCCCAAGCUCAAAUUUGAUAUUUUAUCUCAAAAUUAACUCAUCCUUGUGAUUUUCGAGCUAUCCAAACCCCUCAACACCUUUCAAUUUUAAAGAAAAAUAAUUAAAUACUCAUCAAUUUCGUUUUUAUUCUUCUCACGUUCAGCUUUGAAUUAGUUCCCCAACUUGUUGUUUUCUUCAAAUUGAGUACCAAUUCAUUUGAGAGCCUCCACAAGCAUGGACAAGGGCAAAUUAAAGCUUACUUCAACAUGGUAGUUGAAACAAUGGUUGCUAAGGUGAGUGGCGUGAUAUACUGCAUUUAAACUCCAGUAUGCAGGCUAAGGUAACAUAUGCAAAACCCCUACUUAGUUAAUAUGCGAACCUUGAUUUUUCUUGGUGCAAACCAUUGCAAUUUUGUUUGAGUGUAGGGUAUGCAUGUUGUGUAAUUUUAAUGAGCCAAAUGCAUGAAUUUAAAACAAGCAUGUGGUUAUAGGAAUAAAAUAGACAGGCUGCAGCUAUAAACCAUUUACUUAACGUGAUAAUUGUAUUUGAAUUGUGCAUUUAAUUAUUGCGUGUGAGCAUAAUAUUAAAGGUGAGCUAACCUACUAAAUAGGUAUGUGUAUAUAUGUAAUAUAUAUGGGCUAUAUUAUAUAAUACAUAUGUGUAGGUUUUGUUAUAUAUAUAUGUGUGGUUCUUGAUUAUAUAUAGGUUUUGUUAUAUAUAUGUGUGUGGUUCUUGAUUAUAUAUAUAAUAUAUAUACAUAUUUGGGUCAUGUUUUAUAUAAUAUAUAUGUAUAUGGGUUUUGUAAUGUUUACCAACUAAUAAGUUUUUUUAAAAUAAAAUAACUUCACAUGUUUUGAAUAAUAAAAAGAGGAUGUUGACACUAUUAUUUUUAAAAAGAAUUUUUAUAAUAAUUUUGUAUAAUCAAAGUGAAUUUAGAUAAAUAGAGUUUCACACGCAAAUGCACUUGAACCUCCUUUUAUAAAAUUUCAUUUUAGGAUUUUUAUUUUUUUAAAUAUAUACUCAUUUGACUUACCUUGUUAACAUACUUAUCUUUGUGGUAUGCCAUAUGUCAUCUUUUCAUUGCUCUCGCAAACCACACCAGCAUCUGUUAACAAUCAAAUCGAUUAAUGUUUUUUUUUAUAAUUCAAAUUCAACACUUAAUUUUUAGUUUAUCAAACAUCACCUUAAUUUUAACAAUUUCUUUUGAGUUUUCUAUUUUUGAAUGUAUCGAUGUGAUUUCAUUUGGAUUUUAGGAUUAAUUUGAUGAAAGUUAAUUGCUAGUAUUUUUAGCUAAUUAUAAAAUCUUAUCAAAUCAACUUUAAAACUUAAAUUAAGCACUCAAAAUUUAACAUUGUUAUGUUGAUAUGCAUUCUCUUUUCGCUUCCAAAGUGUUGCUAAUUGAAAAUAAUGUUCCAGUGAUUAACAAGUGGUAGUCUUCAGCUUUUGUCGUGCCUUCUGCUUUUCUUCCUUAUGUAGACUUCUCGUUUUCAAAAUCUAGUUAAUUGAUAACCACUCAUUUUUUGUGGAUAGCUUGUGUGCGAACUCGCCCUUCGCAAUGGAUGGUUUGAAUGCAUACCCGUCAUUUUUAGUAAAUGGAUUUUAAGAACUGAAGCAGUGUUUUCCUGUAAGUGUAUAGGGGAUGCUUCUAGAAGAGAUAGAAGGGAUGUAUGGGACAUUAAUUGUGCGGGCUGACUAUUUUAUCUUGGGAAUAUAUAUCAAUGAUGGAAUGAUGCAUGUUAUGUCAUAGUGGGGCACGCGUUAAUCUGUACUUAGGCUUUGUUAAUUGGACGGUAGUCCCUGAAUCUGUCACACUCCAGAAAGUAUUCAAGUACCUUCUUAUGGAUAAAGAGGUGUAGGGUGACAAAGAGUCGGACUUGGAGAAUGGUUUUGAUCAGGGUAAGUUUCCAAGCCUUGGAAUGAAAGUUUCCCCAAUGAUGUAGAGAAGGAAGUUGCCCAAAUCAUCCGAGGAGACAUCCGGAACCCUGGAAUAUUUUAGAAUCCAAAGAAAUAAUACAACGAAACAUUAUUAAUUAUUUGAUAACUCUAAAUUAUAUAGACUUUUUCAACACAUUUUUUUGAGUAA